GUCGAGGUGUAUAAGGAGAGCUGUUUGAUGUCAUUGUGAGCUUGUUCUCUAUUAUCUUUGAAAGGGCGUGGAGAUUGGGAGAGGUCCUCAACGACUGGAAGAAGGCAAAAUUUUUGCACAUCUUCAAAAGAGGCAAGGAGGAGGAUUUGGAGAACUAUGGACUGCUCAGCCUCACUUCAGUCUCUGGGUAAAUAAUGGACAUGAAAGACAAGAAUGUGACUGGGAACAGAAGGAUGAAACAGAAAUGCCUGGCAAAAAUGGCUCACCUGCACUGCUCUCUACACCUGUCUUAUCUACUUCAUGUCUUCUGCAGAUUGAGCAAAGCUCAGUUUUAUUACACCUCUGAUCAAAGACGUAAGACAGAUCUGGAUUAUUUCCUUUGCCACCUGCUUUGAUGUAUAUUCUCAUAAUCACGAAGGAUGGGAAGGAUGCGACCUCCAUUAGACUUCUGGAGCAUUUGCUUAAAGCAUCUAUAAUUAAAAUUCUUUGUAAAUUUUCAUGUAGUUGUAAGAUCUUGACCUUGGGUUCUCCUGUCAUUUUAGGUGUUUGAUCCCCUCUAAACCUACUAUGUUAUGAAUCCACAGAACUUAUCCUUUACAUGCUGUUCCUUAAUUAGCAGAGAUAUAGCUUUCGGAGCUGAAAUUUGGGACAGAUGCAUUUUGCUAGAAAUUUUUAACCAAAAGCUCAUCUCUGCCAUGAAGCUUCUACUAAGUGCUAGAGGGCAUUUUUUUCAAUUAUCACAUACAAUAGUGUCAGCCAUUAUUUUGUAACAGUAAAUGCAAAUACCUAGAGUAUUUCUGAGACGCUGUUCCUUCUCUAUGGGAAGUAUGAUGUAGCACUGAAAGAAAACCAAGAAAGUUUUAGCACACGGUGGGUUUCAAAGUCAUUGCUGGUAAGAGUAAAUUCACCUUUUCCUCCCACCUCUUUCUUUAGUGUUGUAUCCUAUGUUCUGGAAAUGCCUGUGGUUAGUCCUGUUAGCACUACAGCACUGCUAUUUAGUAAGCAUACCUUUCUUAUAUCUUUCGAUAGUAUAAAUCUAAAGAUUGAAUAUUAGUCAAACA
Molecule: long non-coding RNA, 1061 nt
Filed under: Struthio camelus australis
Lineage: Eukaryota; Metazoa; Chordata; Aves; Struthioniformes; Struthionidae
Description: lncRNA (ENSSCUG00000017066.1)
Source: RNAcentral